AAGAGGGGAGUAGAUGUGGUUCUACUCGAUACUUUAUUAUCGAAUAGGGGAGCGCCCCUCCUCUUU
Molecule: transfer RNA, 66 nt
Filed under: Talonostrea talonata
Lineage: Eukaryota; Metazoa; Mollusca; Bivalvia; Ostreida; Ostreidae
Description: Crassostrea talonata tRNA-Ser
Source: RNAcentral